Molecule: long non-coding RNA, 264 nt
Filed under: Elaeis guineensis (African oil palm)
Lineage: Eukaryota; Viridiplantae; Streptophyta; Magnoliopsida; Arecales; Arecaceae
Description: long non-coding RNA (EGUI_LNC075712)
Source: RNAcentral
UUUUUCUCAAAAACUUCUUAAACCUUCUAGUAAUGAGAGCCAUUUCUUCAUCCUGCUCUUCAUUUUCCAUAUCAUCAGUUUCUUCAUCAAGUUGAGCCGUGGAUUUAAGGAUGAUUAUCCUCUUCUUUUUGACUUCUUCUUCUUGAUGUUAUUUCAUGCUCAGCUCAUGUGUCAUCAGUGAUCCUAGAAGCUCUUCCAAGGGUAGGAUGUUCAGAUCUUUGACUUCUUGGAUAGCGAUCACUUUGGCUUCCCAAGUUCUUAGUA